Molecule: ribosomal RNA, 465 nt
Filed under: uncultured Klebsiella sp.
Lineage: Bacteria; Pseudomonadati; Pseudomonadota; Gammaproteobacteria; Enterobacterales; Enterobacteriaceae
Description: bacterial SSU rRNA
Rfam family: Bacterial small subunit ribosomal RNA
Source: RNAcentral
CCUACGGGUGGCAGCAGUGGGGAAUAUUGCACAAUGGGCGCAAGCCUGAUGCAGCCAUGCCGCGUGUGUGAAGAAGGCCUUCGGGUUGUAAAGCACUUUCAGCGGGGAGGAAGGCGUUAAGGUUAAUAACCUUGGCGAUUGACGUUACCCGCAGAAGAAGCACCAGCUAACUCCGUGCCAGCAGCCGCGGUAAUACGGAGGGUGCAAGCGUUAAUCGGAAUUACUGGGCGUAAAGCGCACGCAGGCGGUCUGUCAAGUCGGAUGUGAAAUCCCCGGGCUCAACCUGGGAACUGCAUUCGAAACUGGCAGGCUAGUGUCUUGUAGAGGGGGGUAGAAUUCCAGGUGUAGCGGUGAGAUGCGUAGAGAUCUGGAGGAAUACCGGUGGCGAAGGCGGCCCCCUGGACAAAGACUGACGCUCAGGUGCGAAAGCGUGGGGAGCAAACAGGAUUAGAUACCCCAGUAGUC